UAGCUAGUUGGUAGGGUAAAGGCCUACCAAGGCGACGAUCGGUAGCUGGUCUGAGAGGAUGGCCAGCCACACUGGGACUGAGACACGGCCCAGACUCCUACGGGAGGCAGCAGUGGGGAAUAUUGGACAAUGGGGGCAACCCUGAUCCAGCAAUGCCGCGUGUGUGAAGAAGGCCUGAGGGUUGUAAAGCACUUUCAGUGGGGAGGAGGACUGAUUGGUUAAGAGCUGAUUAGUUGGACGUUACCCACAGAAGAAGCACCGGCUAACUCCGUGCUAGCAGCCGCGGUAAUACGGAGGGUGCGAGCGUUAAUCGGAAUUACUGGGCGUAAAGGGUGCGUAGGUGGUUAGAUAAGUUAGCUGUGAAAUCCCCGGGCUUAACCUGGGCAGGUCAGCUAAGACUGUUUGACUCGAGUAUGGGAGAGGGUAGUGGAAUUUCCGGUGUAGCGGUGAAAUGCGUAGAGAUCGGAAGGAACACCAGUGGCGAAGGCGGUUACCUGGCCUAAUACUGACACUGAGGCACGAAAGCGUGGGGAGUAAACAGGAUUAGAUACCCUGGUAGUCCACGCUGUAAACGAUGUCAACUAGUUGUUGGCCUUAUGAAUGAGGUUAGUGACGC
RNAcentral lists this ribosomal RNA (616 nucleotides) under uncultured Legionella sp. RNAcentral describes it as "bacterial SSU rRNA". It matches the Rfam family "Bacterial small subunit ribosomal RNA", at positions 242 to 849 of the family's 1533-position model. Lineage: Bacteria; Pseudomonadati; Pseudomonadota; Gammaproteobacteria; Legionellales; Legionellaceae. The record is from RNAcentral.